This 267-nucleotide ribosomal RNA is filed under the name uncultured bacterium. Its description in RNAcentral is "partial 16S ribosomal RNA". It matches the Rfam family "Bacterial small subunit ribosomal RNA", at positions 793 to 1055 of the family's 1533-position model. The record is from RNAcentral.
GUCCACGCCCUAAACGAUGCACACUAGUUGUUGUGAGGCUAGACCUUGCAGUAAUGCAGUUAACACAUUAAGUGUGCCGCCUGGGGAGUACGGUCGCAAGAUUAAAACUCAAAGGAAUAGACGGGGACCCGCACAAGCGGUGGAGCAUGUGGUUUAAUUCGACGAUACACGAAGAACCUUACCUGGACUUGACAUAGUAAGAACUUUCUAGAGAUAGAUUGGUGUCUGCUUGCAGAAACUUAUAUACAGGUGCUGCACGGCUGUCGU